This 651-nucleotide ribosomal RNA is filed under the name uncultured fungus. RNAcentral describes it as "eukaryotic LSU rRNA". The stretch from base 248 to 401 matches the Rfam family "5.8S ribosomal RNA". Lineage: Eukaryota; Fungi. The record is from RNAcentral.
CUUGGUCAUUUAGAGGAAGUAAAAGUCGUAACAAGGUUUCCGUAGGUGAACCUGCGGAAGGAUCAUUAUAGUAUUCUAUUGCCAGCGCUUAAUUGCGCGGCGAUAAACCUUUACACACAUUGUUUAGUUUUUCUUAACUUUGCUUUGGGUUUAGCGAAAGCUAGCCCAGAGGUUAUAAACACAUUUUUUUAAUGUUCAAACCUUUAACCUUUAGUCAUGAAAUUUUUAACAAAAUAAAAAUCUUCAAAACUUUCAACAACGGAUCUCUUGGUUCUCGCAACGAUGAAGAACGCAGCGAAAUGCGAUAUGUAUUGUGAAUUGCAGAUUUUCGUGAAUCAUCGAAUCUUUGAACGCACAUUGCACCCUCUGGUAUUCCAGAGGGUAUGCCUGUUUGAGCGUCAUUUCUCUCUCAAACCUUUGGGUUUGGUAUUGAGUGAUACUCUGUCAAGGGUUAACUUGAAAUAUUGAAUUAGCAAGAGUGUACCUGUCAGUACUCCUUCUGUAAUAAUGUAUUAGGUUCUUCCAACUCGUUAUAUCAGUUAGGCAGUUAUUGCAAGUAUUUUAGGCUCGGCUUAACAACAAUAACAUAAAGUUUGACCUCAAAUCAGGUAGGACUACCCGCUGAACUUAAGCAUAUCAAUAAGCGGAGGA